Molecule: non-coding RNA, 107 nt
Organism: Nicotiana sylvestris (wood tobacco)
Lineage: Eukaryota; Viridiplantae; Streptophyta; Magnoliopsida; Solanales; Solanaceae
Source: Rfam
ACUCCAUGAUGCUGACAUCUUCUCACAAUUUCCUUGAAUCUUUCCCAUGCUUCAAACACCAUUUUUGUAUGUUUUUGCUCAAAGUUGUGGAUCUCUCUUCGAAUUUU